This 436-nucleotide ribosomal RNA is filed under the name uncultured bacterium. Its description in RNAcentral is "bacterial SSU rRNA". It matches the Rfam family "Bacterial small subunit ribosomal RNA", at positions 29 to 453 of the family's 1533-position model. The record is from RNAcentral.
AGUGAACGCUGGCGGCAGGCCUAACACAUGCAAGUCGAACGGCAGCACGGCAGUAGCAAUACUGUGGGUGGCGAGUGGCGGACGGGUGAGGAAUACAUCGGGAUCUACCCUGUUGUGGGGGAUAACGUAGGGAAACUUACGCUAAUACCGCAUAAGAACUGAGGUUGAAAGCGGCGGACCGCAAGGCGUCGCGCGAUUGGAUGAACCGAUGUCCGAUUAGCUAGUUGGCGGGGUAAAGGCCCACCAAGGCGACGAUCGGUAGCUGGUCUGAGAGGACGACCAGCCACACUGGAACUGAGACACGGUCCAGACUCCUACGGGAGGCAGCAGUGGGGGAAUAUUGGACAAUGGCGGCAAGACCUGAUCCAGCCAUGCCGCGUGGGUGGAAGAAAGGACCUCGGUUGGUUAAGGUACCGUUUACGUUUCCGGUAACGGU